Long non-coding RNA from Heterocephalus glaber (naked mole-rat), 3945 nucleotides. The record is from Ensembl. NCBI's taxonomy places the organism in Eukaryota, Metazoa, Chordata, Mammalia, Rodentia, Bathyergidae.
GUAGGGAACUGGCUAACAGAGAAUGAGAAAGUAGAGGUUUGUGUGAAACCUGAAGAAUACCUAAAAUCACAUUGUGGGAAGUUAAGUACAUUUGCGUAGUAUUUCCUAUCCUGCUAAAGCCAAAUCAUGUUGCUUUAGAGCAAAUCUGAGCAAUUAGAGCCAGCCAGCUUUGCAUGAGAGCACACUCAGUUUUUCCAGAGAAAUUUUCAGAGUCACCAAAUCAUAAUUAGAUCAUGGGGUCCGUAAAGCCUCUCAGUGACCACUAAAUGCUAAACACAAAGGGCUGUAAUUGUUGUAGAGUAAGUCCCCAACAUAUAAAUAUUCGAGUUGUGAACUUUCACAGAUACUAACGGACCUUGCAUUACAAACAUCACGUGUCUGCCGGACAUUGUCACAGUUGCGUUGCUGUGUGCUUACUGCACAGUGCAAUAGUGUACAGUAGUACAGUACAGUCAGGGCCAUACUGUAUUUCUGCGUGCGUGUGUUUAUGCUUUACCUUAUAUAUUUGUGUCAAAGGUGUGUAAGAAUCACUUUGGCAGACUUAACGAAUGAAUCUGACUUAUGAGCGUUCUCCCUGAAAGGCAGUCUUUCAUAAGUCAGGGGCUUAUUUUCAGGACAUCCCUAAACUUUUAUUGUAAGAGCAGGGAGGACUACAGUGAUUGUUUUCAAUUCAUAUACUACUAAUUUUUCCUAUAAGAGUACAUUUAUUAUUUCUUUUUGCAGUUUACAAAGAAAUUUUCACAAAGAAAGUCAUGGUUCAAAAUGCUAUUCUAAAAGCUUACGUCUCCCACUUGCUCCAAAGAUUAGAGCAAAAAGCCAGUGCAUUCUACUUCUGACAUUUCACACUUACAGCCACCUAAUCAAAUGAAUUUGGCACCUGCAUUUGCAUGUGUAUAGGUAGUAGCGGUUACAUAUAACCCUCUUUGUCUAGCUCCAUUGUACAGACAUUUCUGCUAGCAUCCUUCUCAUAAGUUUUAAGUAUGAAUAGUAUUUUUAAUGCCCUUACAUAAAAUAUUGUAUCAGAUACCUCAUCUUACACACAUUCCUGAGGGAUGGCAAAGAGCAUUGGCUGUUCUUCUCAUGGCGUUACCUCCUGUGAUUAUCAAACAGUGAUGGUGUACGGGCCUCAGUUGCACCAUCUUUGGGGAAACUGAGCUACUGUGAGAAUAUGACUUGGCUAGAAUCAUGCCAACAGUAGUCAGAGGAGACACAAUUCAAAGUUGCUGUAGUUGGAAAACUCCACUUGUUUUUCAUGAAACCAUACAGCCUUUUGUUGGUUGCAGAGCUGCACAUGGUAGUCAUCAAAUGUUAGUUGUUAUCAUCAUCUUCAGGAUGAAAAGAAUGAUGGAUAUACAUUAAAAAAAUCAGAGAGAUGUGCUGAGCAACAAAUUAAUUCAUUAAAAUGCCUCAAUCUUCUUUAUGAGAAUCCUUGUAUUCAAAUAUGCAUAUUUAAAUAAAAUAAACUGUAUGAAUUAGCAACAAUUAAACAUUAUACUAUAUAGAAUUGGUAAAGAUAUGAUGACCUGGGCACUUUCAUGUCCUGCUUAAAGGAAUAUGAUUUUUGUAACUUUUGGGAAUAUAAUUUUUGUAACUUGGGAAAACAAUUUUUAAAUUUUAUCAAAAAAGUCCUAGAUUUUUUUGUCCAAAUAAUUCUAUUAUUUAAGAAAAUCUAUUAGGGGCUAGGGAUUUAGCUCAGUGGCACCAAGCCUGCCUGGCAAGCACAAGGUCCUGAGUCCUAUCUCUGGUACUGAAAAAAACCUAUUAUACGGAAAUAAUUAUGGAAAUAUAUAUGUGUGUGUUUACAUAUGUUUAAAUGUUAUUAUAACGUCAAAUUAGAAAUAUCCUAAAAUUCCAACAUUAAUGGAGCACUUAAAUUCCAACCACAUAUUAGAAAUUAAUGAAGACAUUUAAAAAUGAUUUUACUGCAUGGGAAAUUCUCACAGUAUUAUAUUUGACACAUAAAACACAAAAAACAACACUAUAGAAAAUAUAACCACAAAUUUCAGUAAGAACAUAUAGAAUAGAUAUAUGCCUAGGAAAACAUUGAUAAAAAUGUAAGAAAAUAACAAUAGAACAAUGUUAUCUCCAAAUUGUGUAACAAUAGGUUAUUUUUACUUUCAUCUUUACACUGUCCUGCAUUUUUAAUUAUCUGCAUGUAUUUUUAUAUAUGUCUAAAUACACACACAUAUCAUCUAUAUACAUAGAGAGAGAUCAUAUAUUUAUCAUCUAUUUCAAAGAAUAGUAUCCAUCAGGAGGUGCUUCAUAGAAAGGGAGUUAUUUCCUGUAUAAGUGUCAAUUUCUAAUUUACCUUAAGGAUGAAGUUUCUUAGAAUUAUACAAACCAACUUCAUUUUCUAAUUCUGUAAGUCCUUAAACAUCUCCGUAUCAAAGCUUUGCUAAGCCUUCAACAUGAUCUCAAUUUUAUUAAACUAUCAGUUUUUUCAGACAAAUUAUGUAUUGUCUUAUAAUUUGGACAACGUUUUAUUUGGGUUUUGAUCCCAGGAUCCACCUAUCCUAGUUGUGUGACCAAGAACAAGUUUCAAAUCUCUUAAGGCUCACUUUUUAUAAUCUUUAGCAUGGAAUGAAUAUGAAGGCCUACCUCAUACCAUUGUUGUUUAGUUUGACUUUUAAAAGAGAUGAUAUUUAAAAAGCAUCUACAAAGAAUAUGACAAAUAGUAUAACCCAUUGUUGUUUUAUAUUCCUUAUUAUGCUAGGCAUGUAGGAUCUAAAAAUGAUUUUUAAAGGAUGAUAAUGUAGAAUUGAAGUCUAAAUUGCAGUCAUAUCAGGAUGUUAUGAAUGAGUUUAAGAUUGUAAGGAACACCAAGAUUGAAAAGAGAUCGAAAGAGAACCAGAAAAGUAAAACUUGCCCUUAUUCUGAUUUGGCUUUAAUCCACAGGGAUAGGAAUGGGGUGGAUGGGAACAUGGAUAAUUUUCACUGAGAUACAGCAAGUGUUUCCUUCACUUGCAUGGAACACUGUGAAGAGUCUAAAUGUUAAAACAAUAUGUUUUAUUCUCUGUUUCAGUAUCCGCACAGUUCUGUCAUUUUGAGAUGAACCAGAUGCCUUCUCUUACAUCGAUCCUCUGACUCCUCCAUGCCAGAUUAUCUGAAUCACCAGGAAGACAACCUUAUUAACUAUUCUUCAGCAAUGUGAAGAAACCAAGACACAGGAUCAGGUACCCCAGCCAGUGUAUGACUGAAUCAAGUAUACCUAAAAUGUAUCAAUAAACUUAAUGAAUAAAAAUAGAUUAGAGGGCUGGGGAUUUAGCUCAGUGGUUUUGCUCCCUGCUGUGCAAGUGCCAGGACGCGAGUUUGAUCCCUGGUACCAAAUAAAUAAAUAAAUAAAUAAAUAAAAGUUUAGAAAUCAGGCCAGGUGUGCAGGUGCAUGCCAAUUAUCCUCAUAUUCUGAAGCUAUGGCAGGGUGAUUGUGACUUGAGCCCAUGCUGGGCAACUUAGCAUCUUAGACAGAUGCUGCACCAAAAUUUAAAACAAGAAAAAGGGCUGGGAGUGUACCACAGUGCAAAGACCAUUUGUCCCCUGCCUAGUAUAAAAUCAAGCAAUCAAUCUAGAAAUCUCAGUAUGAGAAUAGUCUAGCUCCAAAGUGUUCACAUUCUUCUGUUUACUACCCUAACUUCUAAGGUUUAUAGGAAACAAAGGAAGAACAAAGAAGAAAGAAAUAUUUUAAAACAAUUUUAAAUUCUUGUGAAUACAUCAAAACAACUGGAAAAUUCCCUCCUGUGUGUAUGGGAAAAAAAUGAAUGAAGCUGUUCACUUCCUUUUUGUUGACUACAAAGGAAGAUUGAUUUGAACAUAUUAAAGUUUAUGUGCUAUAUCCAAUGGGUCUGGGGUCUAGGGGUGCCCAGACUCACCCUUGCCCAGUUCAUCUCUCUCUCCAACAUAGAAAGAUGAAGAGGAGUCAGAGAAGACCAGACUGGCAAAGGAAGAGUG